Molecule: long non-coding RNA, 3665 nt
Filed under: Homo sapiens (human)
Lineage: Eukaryota; Metazoa; Chordata; Mammalia; Primates; Hominidae
Description: HSALNT0352101
Source: RNAcentral
UUCUCAGUCUUUUAGAGUAGUUUCAGUAGGCUUGGUACCAGUUCUUCUUUGAAUGUCUGAUAGAAUUUGGCUGUGAUCUGUCUGGGUUUUUUAGUCGGCAUUUUUUUUUUCUUACUUAUACAAUCUCACUGCUUGUUAUUGGUCUGUAAGGAUACCUAUUUCUUCCUGGUUUAAGCUGGUAGGGUUGUAUGUUUCCCGGAAUCUAUCUAUUUUCUUUACUUUUAUUUUUAUGUGCAUAGAGGUUACAUAGUAGUCUCAAAUGAUCUUUUAUAUUUCUGUGAUAUUGGUUAAAAUGUUUCCAUUUUCAUUUCUAAUUGAGCUAAUUUAAACUUCUAUCUUCUUAAUUGUUCUAACUAAUGUUCUAACUAAUUGUUAGAACAAUUGUUAAUCGUUCUAAUUGUUAGAACAAUUGUUAAUCGUUCUAACAAUCUUAAUUCUUCUAACUAAUGAUCUAUUGUAUUUCUAUUUUCAAAUAACCAAAUUUUGUUUCAUUAAACUUUUGUAUUUUUAUUUCAAUUUCAUUUAGUUCUGCUUUAAUCUUUCUUUUCUUCUCCUGGCUUUAAGUUUGAUUUGUUGUUUCUAUAGUUUCUUGAGGUAUGACAUUAUGUUGCGAAUUUGUAAUCUUUCAGACUUUUUUACGUAGGUGUUCAGUGCUAGAAACUUUCCUUUUAGCAUUGCUUUUGCUAUGUCCCAGAGGUUUUGAUAACUUGUGUCACUAUAAUCAUCCAUUUAAAGAAUUUUUUAAUUUCUUUCUUCAUUUCAUUGUUAACCCAGUAAUCAUUAAGAAGCAGAUUGUUCAAUUUCCAGGAUCUUGAGAUGACGUCAUACUGGAUGAUCCUAGUGCACCCUAAAUCCAAUAAGUGUUCUUAUGAAAGACAGAAGAGGAGAAGAUACAGGAAAUAGAAGAAGGCUACUUGAGGAUGGAAGCAGAGCUUGGAGUUAUGCAGCUACAAACCAAAGAAUGCCUUGAGCCACCAGCAGCUGAAAGAGCUAGUCAGCAAUACAACUGGGAUUUGAUAUCAGAUUCAUACGAUUCCGAAGACCCUGACCACCAAAUGCAAAAGGUACAUGGCAACAGCUGAUUGCAAUGAGAGAAAAACAACUAAUAAGGCAACAAGCAGGAUACUAAGAUAUUUUCCAAAAUGAAUAGCACUGAUUCUGUGAGGAAUGAACAUUGCCAAACAAGUGUUUUGUUUUGUUUUUCAACUCCUCUAAAAAAAUUCACAUAUAUGCAUGCCACUUUCCUGAAAAAUAUCUGCCUCAUAAUUGCCAUAAGAAACGGUAUGGACAACUCUUAAACAUUCUGAAAGUAGUCAGGGAUGGGGGAAAGCAUUUGCUGUUUUAGUCUGUUCCUGGUCUUAUAACAAAUACCACAAACUGGGUAAUUUAUGAUUACAGAAAUGUAUUUCUGAAAGUUCAGGAGUUGGGAAGUUCAAGAUUAUGGCACCAACAUAUUCAUUGUCUGAUGAGGGCCUGUUUCAUAGAUGUCAUUUUGCAUGACUUAAUCACAUGGUAGGAAAAGCAAAGGGACAAAAUGGACAAAUGCCAUGUUGUCACAUGGCAGAAGAAAUGGAAGAGCCAGGAAGCUCUCAGAAGCUUCCUUAAUUAGGAUAUUAAUCUCAUUAUGAGUGCACAGCCAUCAUGACUUAAUUGCCUCCAAAGGCCCCACUUCCUCAUCACUUUGAGGAUUAAACUUAAACAUGAAUUUGGAGGAAAUAUAUUCAAACUCUAGGACUAGUUUAAAUGUAGCUAAAAAGGUUUCUUCAUUCUGUAAUCGUUAAUAUGCUAAUAUUUUUGUAAAUAUCCAAGAGGAAGCUAAAGCAUAUAAUAUUCCAAAAUUUAUUUCUGUUUGUGGAUAUUAUGUUUUCCUCUCAUUCUAUCUUAAGAAAUUAGUGUCCUCAAGAAACACUAUAUAGGAUAAUUGUCUUUCAAGUUCAUCAACUACCGGUUCUUGAUUCUUCAGUAGCUAAUCCUAGAUAGUAAUACUUAACAGAUUAUAAAAACUUGGGUGCUGCUAUAUAAAUGCGCUGAAACUCCCAGGGAACCAAACAUAAGGACUUAAAGAGAGAUGUAACUAGGGAUCAUAAUCAUGAAUUUCAGCUGCUUCUCUAUCUUUGUCAGUGAGCAAAUGACCAUACAAAAUAAGGUAUUCAAUUAUUAAUUCUGUGCCCAUAUCCCGGAAUUUUGCCCAAUAUAUUUGUAAGUUUAGAUAAAUAAGGCACUAAUGCCAGGGAUAUGUAGCAUUAGUUCUGGGUUUAUAAAGGGAUAUUCACAACCUCUUGCCAUCCACAGAAUUUAUCAGCCCAAAGUAAACUAUACUCGUUAGUUAAGGGCAACCUGAGACAUGUUUAAAACUGAGGUGGACUGAAGAGUCAACUAAUUGCGGGAAUCUUUUAUUUGGCUGAAAUGUUCAAACAAGUCCCACUCUGAAUUCUAUUAGAAGUCCAUCAUUGGCUUCUCUCUCUUUCUCACUGUCUUAAAUCAUGUAUUUUAUAACACUAUGAAGAAUGAAGUUCAAAAGAAUAAGCUAAAUUUAAUUAAUUAAAUUAUUUAUUUAUUUAUUUUGAGACAGAGUCUCACUCUGUCACCCAGGCCAGAGUUCAGUUGCACGAUCUUGGCUCAGUGCAUCCUUCACCUCCUGGGCUCAAGAGAUCCUCCUGAAGCAGGGUAUUUCCCUGACCCCUUCAUGGGACUCGUGACAGGGGUGCCCCAUUUACUCAGCCCACUGCUCUCAACUCCUCAAGGGAGGGAGUGCGCAAUUGAACAAGGCAGGAACUGGAGUACACGAGUGUUGGAACCAGUGGCCUCUUUGGUGCCAGAAGGAGUGAACUCACCCACUCUGACCUGCUGUGUUCCACCUCUUGCAGGAGAGAGCAUGCAGGUGAGCAGGUACAGGAGCCAGGAAGAGAGCUUUGGGGUGUUGGCAGGAGCAAACUCCAUGUGGGCCCCAUAGCAGCCCCUGGGGUUAGGGGGGUGCCUGUGAUUCCUGAAGCCCCUGUGGGCAUAUUACAGUGCUCCUUUAGCUCUGCCGUCUUCAGACAGCUGAAGUGUUAGCAGCUCAGCAUGCCUUUUUGUAUCCACACUCACUCCUGAGCUCUUGUUUGGCAUCCAGGAAAAAAUCAGCUCACAGAAACGAAUUGAAGGAUGGUAAAUGCAGAGGAUUUUAUUGCCAAGGAAAGUGGCUCUCAGCAGGAAGGGCAGCUGGGAAGGAGAUGUAGCAGGAAGGUUUCUGGCUGGACUCUUCUCCAAAGUUGCACUGUCAAGCUGUCUCUCUGAAAUCAAGCUGCUUCUCUCCAACGUCCAACCGUAGUCUCUGAUGCCCAGCUGCUGCUUCUCUUUUGAUGUUCAGCUGCUUCUCUUUUUUGCUAGCUGAGUCUGGGGUUUUUAUGGGCACAGGAUGGGGGACAGGGGAGGUCAUGGGUAAUUUUGUAAAAGGCAACAUUUGAGUGGGAAAACAGGAAUGUAUGUUCUCACUUUGGGCUUUGGUUCCAGGCUUGAGGGUGGAGCCGUUGCCAGGGACCUGCCCUCUUUUGCCCAGAAUUUCCCUGCCUCCCUUCCCUAUCACUCCCACCCCAUCACUCCCACCUCAACAUCCUGAGUAGCUGGGAUUAUAGGCGCACACCACCGCAUCUGAUUAAUAUUUAAAUUUUUUGUAGAGACAGGGU